Molecule: ribosomal RNA, 503 nt
Filed under: uncultured Glomeromycotina
Lineage: Eukaryota; Fungi; Glomeromycota
Description: partial small subunit ribosomal RNA
Rfam family: Eukaryotic small subunit ribosomal RNA
Source: RNAcentral
CCAAUAGCGUAUAUUAAAGUUGCCGCAGUUAAAAAGCUCGUAGUUGAAUUUCGGGACCAAUAUGUCGGUCGUGCCUCGGUACGUACUAGCAUCGUUGGUUUCUCCCUCCCUUCUGACGAACCAUGAUGUCAUUUAUUUGGUGUCAUGGGGAAUCAGGACUGUUACUUUGAAAAAAUUAGAGUGUUUAAAGCAGGCUCACGCUUGAAUACAUUAGCAUGGAAUAAUGAAAUAGGACGUUUGAUUCUAUUUUGUUGGUUUCUAGGAUCGACGUAAUGAUUAAUAGGGAUAGUUGGGGGCAUUAGUAUUCAAUUGUCAGAGGUGAAAUUCUUGGAUUUAUUGAAGACUAACUACUGCGAAAGCAUUUGCCAAGGAUGUUUUCAUUAAUCAAGAACGAAAGUUAGGGGAUCGAAGACGAUCAGAUACCGUCGUAGUCUUAACCAUAAACUAUGCCGACUAGGGAUCGGAUGAUGUUAAUUUUUUAAUGACUCAUUCGGCGCCUUACG